UUGAGAGCGGCGCACGGGUGCGGAACACGUGUGCAACCUGCCUUUAUCUGGGGGAUAGCCUUUCGAAAGGAAGAUUAAUACCCCAUAAUAUAAGAAACGGCAUCGUUUUUUAUUGAAAGCUCCGGCGGAUAGAGAUGGGCACGCGCAAGAUUAGAUAGUUGGUGAGGUAACGGCUCACCAAGUCAAUGAUCUUUAGGGGGCCUGAGAGGGUGAUCCCCCACACUGGUACUGAGACACGGACCAGACUCCUACGGGAGGCAGCAGUGAGGAAUAUUGGACAAUGGGUGAGAGCCUGAUCCAGCCAUCCCGCGUGAAGGACGACGGCCCUAUGGGUUGUAAACUUCUUUUGUACAGGGAUAAACCUACCCUCGUGAGGGUAGCUGAAGGUACUGUACGAAUAAGCACCGGCUAACUCCGUGCCAGCAGCCGCGGUAAUACGGAGGGUGCAAGCGUUAUCCGGAUUUAUUGGGUUUAAAGGGUCCGUAGGCGGAUCUGUAAGUCAGUGGUGAAAUCUCCCAGCUUAACUGUGAAACUGCCAUUGAUACUGCAGGUCUUGA
Molecule: ribosomal RNA, 557 nt
Filed under: Chryseobacterium sp. SC9-1
Lineage: Bacteria; Pseudomonadati; Bacteroidota; Flavobacteriia; Flavobacteriales; Weeksellaceae
Description: bacterial SSU rRNA
Rfam family: Bacterial small subunit ribosomal RNA
Source: RNAcentral